GACCCGCGUGUCCCGGGCAGGCUGGGCCCGCUGGUCAUUCAGACAGAGGCUUUUCGCUGGACGAGACAUAUCGAGUGUCACUGCGGCGCGGCCGGCUCUCUGAUCGCGAAACCAAAACCGAGGAGGAGCGGCGAGAUCGUCUUCGGGGCGGCGGAGAUGACGGUCGGCCAUCUCGCCAACGACGCCACGACGGCACGUGGGAGACAAUAUUGAAAUAUUCUUCUGAAGCCGCAGUUGACACCUAUGAAGAAAUAGCUAUUAUCAUACCAAGAGGACGACGUACUGUUGAGCUUCAUCUUUCAUUUCUGCGACUCCAUGGACAAGCUGAUGAUAUUAAAAUCCAAUAUAGCAGCAUCAUUCGCCUUUUUGUUUUACCAAAGGUUAUGUGUGUACUGUAAUUAUUGUGAUAUUGUAUUGGUUGAUCCUAGAUAUGUAAAUAAUUCGAUUGCAUGGUUGUGCUUUCCAGCCAAACAGUCCCCAUACCUUUGCGGUUGUCACUCUUGAUCCGCCAAUCCGUAAAGGCAGAACAUUGUACCCUCACAUUGUCAUUCAGUUUAUGACAGAGGUAAUAGUCGAAACAGAUUUGAAUUUAAGCAGAGAUCUUCUGGCCGGAAAAUACAAAGAUAAGUUGGAGGAAUCUUAUAUGGGUCCAAUACAUGAGGUAUUCACCAAAGUCCUUUGUGGCCUAUCUGGUGCCAAAGUCACAAGGCCGGGUUCUUACAGAACUUGCCAAGGUGAAUAUGCAGUUAAAACAUCUCUGAAAUCUGAACAUGGACUGCUGUAUCCACUUGAAAAAGGUUUCUUCUUUCUGCCAGAGCCCCCUAUGCUCAUCCUUUAUGAAGAGGUUGAGUUUGUUGGGUUUGGAAGUUACCGCCGUGAGGGCGCCGGUAAAUCAGAUUGCUAGUUGGACCUCCUUGUCAAGCGAAAAAAUGGCCAAGAGCAUAUCUUCAGAAAUAUUCAAAGGAAUGAAUACUUUAACCUUUUCAACUUCAUCAAUGGAAAGCAGUUGAAAACAAUGAACCUUGGGGACGAGCAAAGUGAUGAGGAUGAAGAUUUUGGUUCCUUUAUGGGUGGCGGAGGAUCUUCUACUGAUGAUGAUUCUAGCGGGGACGAAUCAGAAUCUAGUGAAAGUGGGGGUGAAAAGGAGGGAGCCAGUAGUGGCGACGGAGGUUCGAAGAAAAGGAAGUGGAAGAAGAAACACGCGACGUACCGUUGGCACAGGAUGAGCUGGCGAGGGUUCCGCGUCCGAUGACGAGUCACACUAGGCUCUUGUCCUCUGGGCACGAUGGAGGUAUAUGUCUGUUGGUCACUGACGCAGAGUUUGGCCUUUGAAAUCAUGCAUCCCAGCUUGCACUGGAGCUGAUCAUUGAUUUUCCGAUAUGUUUUUUUGUAACCAAGAGCAGAUGAGAGGGGGGGAUUCAGUAUCAUGCUCGAAACUAAACAGUAGGCGGAACAAUUACAACAAAGCACCUUUCAGAUUUUAUUUACUUUCACAAUGAAACAUAAGAUUGUUAGUUGUCAUAUAAGUAUGGUAUAUCUGAGUGAGAUUGGAUUAUGGCAUAUGCCAUUCCCAUUUCAGCUAUGGAACAGAACAUCAUUAUUAUUGUACAACAGCACUACAGGAAAGGAGUUUCGUGAAA
This is a non-coding RNA of Triticum urartu, 1640 nucleotides long. Lineage: Eukaryota; Viridiplantae; Streptophyta; Magnoliopsida; Poales; Poaceae. The record is from RefSeq and is a predicted model, not a curated record.